This is a long non-coding RNA of Gossypium raimondii (Peruvian cotton), 524 nucleotides long. RefSeq lists it as uncharacterized. The transcript is spliced from 3 exons. The record is from RefSeq and is a predicted model, not a curated record. NCBI's taxonomy places the organism in Eukaryota, Viridiplantae, Streptophyta, Magnoliopsida, Malvales, Malvaceae.
ACUCGACCGAACACCAUAGCUAGGGAGUAGGUUUCGGUUUUGGCUUUAUUCCUUUUCAUUUGGAUUAGCUCUUAUGAGCUUCUAUCUGGAAUGUUCGAUUGAUCUGACAAUGUACUCUUAUCCGUAAGCGUCCUUCGAAUGGAAAAUCUCGGUAAGAUUAUCGGAAGCUUGGUCAGGUAGGAAGCUUGUCGGAGAUCUAUCACACUAUCCAGCAAUUAUAUUGGUAGUUUUUGAUGUCUUGGUCAAGGUUAUAGUGGCAUGUAUAGGUGGACUUGUGUUUGAUGAACUAGUUGUUAAGUUUGACUUGUAAAUAUGGUAAUAUGGUUGGUGUGUUUUUGGCAUUUGAUGCCUUGAUGGUUGGUAUUUUUAUUAUGCAUGGGUUAAAUGGCCAAAGUGAUAUGUUUUGGCAUGGUUGAAAUAUGGUAAAUUAGGUUAUGUGUUGAUAUGGAAUUUAGUUAAGGUUGUUUGGAUGAAACAUGAUCAUUUUGAUGCAAAUGUAAGUAUGAAUGCUUGGUUGUGAUUAA